RNAcentral lists this ribosomal RNA (486 nucleotides) under uncultured bacterium. Its description in RNAcentral is "bacterial SSU rRNA". It matches the Rfam family "Bacterial small subunit ribosomal RNA", at positions 28 to 524 of the family's 1533-position model. The record is from RNAcentral.
GAUGGACGCUGGCGGCGUGCCUAACACAUGCAAGUCGAACGGAGUUGAGUGCUUCGGUAUUCAACUUAGUGGCAAACGGGUGAGUAACGCGUGAGGAACCUGCCUUUCAGUGGGGGACAACAGUUGGAAACGACUGCUAACACCGCAUGAUACUUUUGGGGGCAUCCCUGAAAAGUACAAAGAUUUAUUGCUGAAAGAUGGCCUCGCGCCUGAUUAGCUAGUUGGCGGGGUAACGGCCCACCAAGGCGACGAUCAGUAGCCGGUCUGAGAGGAUGAACGGCCACAUUGGGACUGAGAUACGGCCCAGACUCCUACGGGAGGCAGCAGUGGGGAAUAUUGGGCAAUGGGGGAAACCCUGACCCAGCAACGCCGCGUGAAGGAAGAAGGCCCUCGGGUUGUAAAACUUCUUUUACCAAGGGACGAAGGACGUGAACGGUACCUGGAGAAAAAAGCAACGGCUAACUACGUGCCAGCAGCCGCCGCAGU